RNAcentral lists this ribosomal RNA (544 nucleotides) under uncultured bacterium. RNAcentral's name for it is "bacterial SSU rRNA". It matches the Rfam family "Bacterial small subunit ribosomal RNA", at positions 235 to 777 of the family's 1533-position model. The record is from RNAcentral.
GUGACAUUAGUUAGUUGGUGAGGUAACGGCUCACCAAGACUACGAUGUCUAGGGGUUCUGAGAGGAUGAUCCCCACACUGGUACUGAGACACGGACCAGACUCCUACGGGAGGCAGCAGUGAGGAAUAUUGGUCAAUGGGCGCAAGCCUGAACCAGCCAUCCCGCGUGAAGGAUGAAGGCCCUAUGGGUCGUAAACUUCUUUUAUACACCAAGAAAAAGCAGGACGUGUCCUGCCCCGACGGUAGUGUAUGAAUAAGCAUCGGCUAACUCCGUGCCAGCAGCCGCGGUAAUACGGAGGAUGCAAGCGUUAUCCGGAUUCAUUGGGUUUAAAGGGUGCGUAGGCGGCUUUUUAAGUCAGUGGUGAAAUCCUGUCGCUUAACGAUAGAAUUGCCAUUGAUACUGAAGAGCUUGAGUACAAUUGAGGUAAGCGGAAUGUGUAGUGUAGCGGUGAAAUGCUUAGAUAUUACACAGAACACCGAUUGCGAAGGCAGCUUACUAAACUGUUACUGACGCUGAUGCACGAAAGCGUGGGGAGCGAACAGGA